RNAcentral lists this ribosomal RNA (497 nucleotides) under uncultured bacterium. Its description in RNAcentral is "partial 16S ribosomal RNA". It matches the Rfam family "Bacterial small subunit ribosomal RNA", at positions 1 to 507 of the family's 1533-position model. The record is from RNAcentral.
GGGGGGGGGGGGGGGGGGGGCGAGGGGGGGGGGGUGGAGGGGAGGGAGGGGGGGGGGGGUGUUCUGAUGGUAGCGGCUGGCGGGGGCAGAACGCGUGGAUAGCCUGCCUGUCAGGAUUGGAGAGCUUCGUGAACCAUGAGCAAAGACCGGGGGAUAUUUUGCCCGUCAUGGUUCACAAGUGGACGAGUGUCUUGCCGACACUUAUAGGUGGAGCCUUGCAGGCUUAGCUCGUUGGUAAGGUAACGUCUUACCAGGACAACGAUGCAUAUCCGCUCGGAGAGGGUGAUCGCCCACACGGGAACUGAGCCACGGUCCAGACUCCUACGGGAGGCAGCAGUAGGGAAUCUUCCGCAAUGGGCGAAAUCCUGACUGAGCAACGCCGCGUGAGUGAUGAAGGUCUUCGGAUCGUAAAACUCUGUUAUUAGGGAAGAACAUAUGUGUAAGUAACUGUGCACAUCUUGACGGUACCUAAUCAGAAAGCCACGGCUAACUACGUG